Molecule: transfer RNA, 67 nt
Filed under: Otocryptis wiegmanni
Lineage: Eukaryota; Metazoa; Chordata; Lepidosauria; Squamata; Agamidae
Description: tRNA-Ile
Source: RNAcentral
GAAAUGUGCCCGAGACCAGGGGCUAUUUUGAUAAAAUAGCCACAGCAAUCAAAACCGCUCAUUUCUA